UACGUAGGUGGCAAGCGUUGUCCGGAUUUACUGGGUGUAAAGGGCGUGUAGCCGGGCUGACAAGUCAGAUGUGAAAUCCGGGGGCUCAACCCCCGAACUGCAUUUGAAACUGUUGGUCUUGAGUAUCGGAGAGGCAGGCGGAAUUCCUAGUGUAGCGGUGAAACGCGUAGAUAUUAGGAGGAACACCAGUGGCGAAGGCGGCCUGCUGGACGACAACUGACGGUGAGGCGCGAAAGCGUGGGGAGCAAACAGG
Molecule: ribosomal RNA, 253 nt
Filed under: uncultured bacterium
Lineage: Bacteria
Description: partial 16S ribosomal RNA
Rfam family: Bacterial small subunit ribosomal RNA
Source: RNAcentral